This 900-nucleotide long non-coding RNA is filed under the name Rattus norvegicus (Norway rat). RNAcentral's name for it is "long non-coding RNA NONRATT033207". Lineage: Eukaryota; Metazoa; Chordata; Mammalia; Rodentia; Muridae. The record is from RNAcentral.
CUCAGCGUCACCAGCAUUUGACUUAUGGGUGUACACCAUCACACCUGGGCUUUUAUGUGGGUACCGAGUAUUGAACUCAGAUCCUCACAGUUGUGCAGCAAUCCCCCUGGGCUCUUAACUCUGUACCCUGCCUGCCUUUGUAUAGGUACCAUGUUUGGGUUUUGUUACUUUGUGGUAAGUUUAGAAAUCUGAAAGAGUGAACCUACCAAUUUUGAUCCUCCAUAUUGUUUUGGUCAUUCUGGAUGUCUUGCAGUUCCAUACGGGUUAUAGGCUACGUUUGUUCAUUUCUAUGAAGAAAGCAAGUGAGCUCCAGACAGAGGCGUGCAAGUCUAUAGAUCACAUGUGAAGUCUCAUGAGACACCAAUAUCACCUGCCUUCCAGGUUGUUAAUCAGAGGACAUCGAUCACUUCAUCCGACAGGCAACGCUUCACUUUCACCCAGUCCCUGCAUAAUCCCUGUUCCACAGUGCAGCCAGAGUGAUGCUUCCAACACAAAAAUGCCAGCUUUGGACCCGUGGGCAGCUCAGUGGGCUACAGCACUUCCUGCACAUCCCAAGACACCCAACUUUCAUCCCAGAACCCAAGUGAAGUGGAAAGAGAGAACAAGCCCCACAGACGGUCCUCUGACCUCCACACACUCGCUGUGGCGCACUUGCCCACACAGGUAUCAGGCGCGCACACACAGUAAUGAUAAAAAAUGGAUGAAAUACAAAUCUGAUCCAGACACACUUACUGACAGCCCCUAAAGAGUGUUCUUUUUUAAUCUUAUGUGCACGUGUGUGUAAGCCAUGUGUGUGUCGGUACUUAACGGGGUCCAGGAGAGGUAUUGAAUCCCUGGAAUGGGAAUUCUAAGUAGCUAGGAGCUGCUGUGAUGGCGAUGGGAAUGUGAAUUUAGGUCCUC